Molecule: long non-coding RNA, 390 nt
Filed under: Lathyrus oleraceus (garden pea)
Lineage: Eukaryota; Viridiplantae; Streptophyta; Magnoliopsida; Fabales; Fabaceae
Description: Pisum sativum (pea) long non-coding RNA (PSAT_LNC041505)
Source: RNAcentral
AAUUUCAUGGGUUUAACAUCAACAUUUUCAUCAUUCCCAGUAUUCAAUCAAAUUUCAUGGGUUUAACAUCAUCAUUUCUAUAAUUCCCAUAAUUCAAUCAAAUUUCAUGGGUUUAACAUCACCAUUUUCAUCAUUCCCACAACACAAUCAAAUUUCAUGGUUUUAACAUCAACAUUUUCAUCAUUCCCACAAUUCAAUCAAAUUUCAUGGGUUUAACAUCAUCAUUUCUAUAAUUCCCACAAUUCAAUAAAAUUUCAUGGGUUUAACACCAACAUUUUACUCUUUCUAACAAUUCAAUCAAAUUUCAUGGGUUUAACAUCAUCAUUUUCAUCACUCCCACAAUUCAAUCAAAUUUCAUGGGUUUAUCAUCAUCAUUUUUAUAAUUCCCAC